Elgaria multicarinata webbii is the source of this 384-nucleotide non-coding RNA. Lineage: Eukaryota; Metazoa; Chordata; Lepidosauria; Squamata; Anguidae. The record is from the annotation of a RefSeq genome assembly.
ACUCCAAUGUCCAAAAUGUUAUGGCUCCUAAAUUCCCUCUUGUUCAUAAAUGGGUUUUCAUGGGCCAGUUCACAGAUCGUUCUCACUCAGUCAGGCCUGGAAGUGAAAAAACCCGGAGAAUCCACCAGGCUCACCUGUUCCGUGUCAGGACUUGAUCUUAGCAGCAGCUACAUGGACUGGAUCCGGCAAUCUCCAGGGAAAGGGCUAGAGUGGUUGGUUUACUAUUAUUCAUCAUCUACCAACGGCUACUCCCCAACUAUCCGAGGGCGAUUCUCAGCCUCCAAAGAGAGUUCAAACUUCUAUCUCCAAAUGAACAACCUGAAACAAGAAGACUCGGCUGUCUAUUACUGUGCCAGAGAAACACAGUGGUGGAAUGGAACUUGA